Molecule: ribosomal RNA, 510 nt
Filed under: uncultured bacterium
Lineage: Bacteria
Description: partial 16S ribosomal RNA
Rfam family: Bacterial small subunit ribosomal RNA
Source: RNAcentral
GACGAACGCUGGCGGCGUGCUUAACACAUGCAAGUCGAACGAAGAGCGAUGGAAGCUUGCUUCUAUCAAUCUUAGUGGCGCACGGGUGAGUAACGCGUAAUCAACCUGCCCUUCAGAGGGGGACAACAGUUGGAAACGACUGCUAAUACCGCAUACGAUCUAAUCUCGGCAUCGAGGAUAGAUGAAAGGUGGCCUCUACAUGUAAGCUAUCACUGAAGGAGGGGAUUGCGUCUGAUUAGCUAGUUGGGGGGGAAAAGGCCCAACAAGGCGAGGAUCAGUAGCCGGUCUGAGAGGAUGAACGGCCACAUUGGGACUGAGACACGGCCCAGACUCCUACGGGAGGCAGCAGUGGGGAAUCUUCCGCAAUAGACGAAAGUCUGACGGAGCAACGCCGCGUGAGCGAUGACGGCCUUCGGGUUGGAAAGCUCUGUUAAUCGGGACGAAAGGCCUUCUUGCGAAUAGUGAGAAGGAUUGACGGUACCGGAAGAGAAAGCCACGGCUAACUACGUG